CCGAGAUAGGGGUACAAAUCUUGCCACUGGCAUUUCCCUGGACCCAAGCGAUGAUGGGCAACCUAGCGACGACUCUCGGCGUUCUUCGGGAGAGAGUACUAGACGUAGUGUCUCCCAGAACG
The submitters of this non-coding RNA (122 nucleotides) gave its source as unclassified sequences. The record is from Rfam.